AGGAAUUUCAUGUUUUAAUCUGUAAACUUGUAGACCUAUUGAGAAAGUUGAUCGUGUCCUAAAUAUCCUUGAAACCUCUGUAUAUGUUGAGUCGUUGAUAUAUAGAUUUGCCUUUCUUGGAAUAUUGCUCUGCCCUAAACUUAGACCUUUGUAAUAUGCUUAUGGUGCUCACCUGUAUGUGUUUCAGAAUCAUAUAUUUAGAAUUCAUAUGAUUUAUGUUUGUUUGGUAAUCCAGUAUAGACUAUAUGUUCUUAUGUUAGGAGGGAAAGUAUAUAUUUAUGGUAGGCAAUGCUAUAGCAUUUAGUAUGCAUUGAAAGUGCCUCAUUGACAUUUAAACCCACAAGUAAAACAUGUUGUUAGUGUUUCAGGAUAUUUGGGAGUGGAGUUCGACUCUAGGUUGGGAUGUCCUCCCUGGCACAAGCAUUGCCCUGGGCCUUGAGUCCCUUGGUAACUUUGACAUGUCGGGGGAUUCAAAGGGAAGCCUUGAGUGGAAUUUCCUCCUUAGCUCUUAAUUCAUCGACACAUUUAGUCCUUUAGGGGUUUAAUGUUUAAUGACAACAAAAGAUUUUCAAGGAGCAUUAUUCUCUAAGUAGAACCACCACAUAUAUAUCAUUUCUAUAGUAUUAAUUAUUCUUUGUUUCAAUUAUUUACCUAUAUAUCUGUCUUGUAUAUUUGAAUAUGUUGAUAAUAUGGGAAUACUUCUAAUGGACUUCUUUUUACUUUUUUGGGCAUGUAUACAUUUGGGCCUAUCGAAUUCCUAAGGAACUCAGGCCCAAACCAGCUUUGCUGCGUCUUUGGAGAGUCCAGUCUGCUGUAGCCACACCUCUCAAGUUGCUGGGCCUACCUUAUUAAGGCCCAAUUGUUAGAACAAUUUUUCGAUCGCGCGACUGUGGUAAAACUACAAAAGGAAAAGGUAAAUCUUCUAGGUGUCGAGGCAGAAGUACCUUUCCCCUUGAUUGACGAAAAACCAUCAGGAAAAAAACUACUGCAGUCAGAGGGAGGGGUGCAAACCUCUUUGAGUCUAGCUCUUAUGUGCCGUCUAGGGAGGCUUUUAAGGGAAACUCCGCUUCUAUUUCGAAAGAGUAGGAAGUUACACAGUCUAGGACGCAGGGGCAAUUUUAGUUCAUAGAUAAGGCAUCUUAAUCUCAUAGCACUUCCGAGGGUUCGGAAAAUGCCAACCAGACUUCUGAGCCAGCAGCGGCUCCAGACACAGAUGCACAAACUGUAUGGUAUAUUCUUAAUGAUGGCAGAGGGGGAGAGGGUACAUCCACUAGUGUGGGGAGAUCAAAGAAGAAUGAUAUAUAAGAGGAUAGAUUUGUUAGCUUGGCUGCCUUCACUAACUUCUGAAUAUGGUGGCCCAUGUGAUCUUUGACCCUUGAGAGGCAGUUUCUAUUGAAGGAUCUCGAGAUAUACAAACAGGAGUUCUGAUACAGUUUAGAGCGAGGAACGGUUUGAUGUUUUUUGCUGAGAGACUGGUUGAUGCCAAAGAGUACCUUGUCUGCGAGUUCUAUGCCAACAUUUAUCACAUCAAGAAGGGGAAAAAGGUGACCAAAGUACGCAACCUCAAGGUGAGGUUUGAUUAGCACACGCUAAAUGCAUACUUGGGGUUUAAGGACUUGGAGCCUAGAGAAUACUUAGAGAAGUGUGCGAUUAAAUAAACAUUUAAUGUGUAUUUGGCUUUUUUUGUAUUUUUCUUGAAAGCUGCCAACUCGUGAAAUAGUGUUCAAAAAAACAGUGAUUUGCUAGAGGGAUAAUUUAUAAUUGAUUUGAAUCAUUUUCAAUAAA
This is a non-coding RNA of Nicotiana tabacum (common tobacco), 1785 nucleotides long. Lineage: Eukaryota; Viridiplantae; Streptophyta; Magnoliopsida; Solanales; Solanaceae. The record is from RefSeq and is a predicted model, not a curated record.